Molecule: antisense RNA, 75 nt
Filed under: Sorangium cellulosum
Lineage: Bacteria; Pseudomonadati; Myxococcota; Polyangiales; Polyangiaceae
Description: ASpks TB sRNA
Rfam family: ASpks TB sRNA
Source: RNAcentral
CUUGAUCGAGCCGAGCCAGAGCGGCCGCUCGGCGGUGUGGGCCUUGCCGUAGAUCGACAGCAGCGCCUGCGCCUC